RNAcentral lists this transfer RNA (69 nucleotides) under Marmota monax (woodchuck). It matches the Rfam family "tRNA". Rfam says of the family: Transfer RNA (tRNA) molecules are approximately 80 nucleotides in length. Lineage: Eukaryota; Metazoa; Chordata; Mammalia; Rodentia; Sciuridae. RNAcentral also lists the same sequence under 3 other names. The record is from Rfam by way of RNAcentral.
GGGGCUGUAGCUCAGUGGCAGAGCACUUGCCUAGCAUGCAUUAGGUACUGGGUUUGAUCCUCAGCACCA